RNAcentral lists this non-coding RNA (24 nucleotides) under Arabidopsis thaliana (thale cress). Lineage: Eukaryota; Viridiplantae; Streptophyta; Magnoliopsida; Brassicales; Brassicaceae. RNAcentral also lists the same sequence under 1 other name. The record is from RNAcentral.
AUACGAACCGUGAAAGCGUGGCCU